GUCAGUCCUCGGAAAGAGCCGGUAACGAAGGCCGGCCAGCCCAGUUCUAGGACAGGCGGUUCAACAUCGGACUGCAAUGGGAAGUAGGCUGGAACGGCUCCCGCCUCGCCUCUCGGGGGGAGGGGAAGCCUCACUGAUUGGCUGCAUAUCGGAGCGGCUGGUCCAAUCCCGAGAGGAAGAAAGGAGUUUCUUGGAGAUUUAAAAAACAACCAUCCUUCCAAGCUCUCGACUUCAGCAGAUACCCGUCGCUCAGGCCCGGGGCUUGGGCGCGGUGGGGCAAUCUUUAUGCUCUUCGACCAGGCUCCCCUGAAGCUGAUGUUAGGAGAAGAUUCAAAACAGAUGCCAUUCUAGCUCUUUCCUCCCACCACAUCAUGCCACAGGUAAUAACAAUUUUGGAGAAGAGAAAAGCAAUUUAACUGUGUUAACUGGCUCUGAAGGAAAAGACUGGACUAAUUUUCCUCCCCAAAUCCCUAGUGAGAUGGCCUCACUCCUAAUUACACAACUGUACCAUGAUUUCAGCAGAGCAAAAAGUGUGACCAUAAAACCCCUGGAGAAAUGGGCAAAAAACUUUCUCUCUAGUUCAACAUUAAUGAUGUAUAUAGCAGCCAUUCAAAAAGCAAGCAGAAGUUAAAGGCAACAGCUAUCUUCCAUAUUAUUCCAGAGCAGUGUUUAUUUAAAGAUGCCACCUUUGAUUCUGGAGAUAAUUUACAGUUGUCAAGCCCAGCAGUCUAAUCUCUAGGGAUUUUCCUUUGAAGCUGCUUAGAAUGAUGCCCACCAUUCACUAUUAGUAGGGAAUUCUACAGUUUAUGAAUGAAACAAGAUCUUUUAUUGGUCUAGAAUUCCACUCCUUAUUUAGAUUCACUGGAUAAUAUGGGGAAAUCUUUUUUUAUGGCACAGGGUAAUGUCUAUUAUGUUUUAGUAAGACCCUAGUAAUAUUGUACAAUAUGUAUUUCAUUAGAACUGCACUCAUGCUAUUAAAAAUCAUGCAUUGUCAAAGUCAGCAUCAGCAUUUAUGAAUAUAUAGGACCAUUCUUAUAAAGUCAUUUCAUUUAUUCUGUUUUAUGCAUUACAUUUCGCAUCAUUAUUUGAAUGUAUUUUCUAAAUCACAUAAUGCAGAAUUCACCAUGAACAAGUUAACGGUAAUAAAAAUAUAAGGAAAAUAUGAUUAUUGAUUUCCCUUGCUCUGUUAUUAUAUUGAGUUUGUAAUUCCAGUUCAAUCUUUGACAUAGCCUCCCAUCGUCCAGUGCAAUCCCACAGAGUUGGCCUCCUCAGGGUGCCGUUGGCCAGACAGUGUC
Molecule: long non-coding RNA, 1295 nt
Organism: Thamnophis elegans (Western terrestrial garter snake)
Lineage: Eukaryota; Metazoa; Chordata; Lepidosauria; Squamata; Natricidae
Exons: 3
Source: RefSeq, a predicted model, not a curated record